CAAAAAUAAAAAAAUGGGGGCCCUCCUUAGAACCACCAAUCUCGAAGUCCUUAGAAGGAGGAUCAGCAACCUUCACCACCAAGGAGGUACACCAACUACACUCUGCUAAACACACCUAGGACUCAGGUGUUAAUGUAAAUAAGAGAACACCUCCUAGAAGCAAGGAUGGUAGACUUCAUCUGAAAGUCAACUAUCUAUCGAUUCGGUCUACUCCGAGUGCUGUUUAUUGAUAAUAGGCGUCAGUUCACAGGGGCCAAAUUUGAAGAAUUUUGUGA
RNAcentral lists this long non-coding RNA (275 nucleotides) under Elaeis guineensis (African oil palm). Its description in RNAcentral is "long non-coding RNA (EGUI_LNC068780)". The record is from RNAcentral. Lineage: Eukaryota; Viridiplantae; Streptophyta; Magnoliopsida; Arecales; Arecaceae.